AAUCAACGCUGGCGGCGUGCCUCAGACAUGCAAGUCGAACGAUUAAAGCUCUCUUCGGAGAGUGUAUAGAGUGGCGCACGGGUGAGUAACACGUAAGUAAUCUACCUUUGAGUGGGGAAUAACAAUCGGAAACGAUUGCUAAUACCGCAUAAUGCAGCGGCAUCGCAAGAUGACAGUUGUUAAAGGAGCAAUCCGCUUAAAGAGGAGCUUGCGGCAGAUUAGCUAGUUGGUAAGGUAAUGGCUUACCAAGGCUACGAUCUGUAUCCGGUCUAAGAGGACGGUCGGACACACUGACACUGAAUAACGGGUCAGACUCCUACGGGAGGCAGCAGUCGGGAAUUUUGGGUCAAUGGGCGAAAAGCCUGACCCAGCAACGCCGCGUGAGGGAUGACGG
This 394-nucleotide ribosomal RNA is filed under the name uncultured bacterium. RNAcentral's name for it is "bacterial SSU rRNA". It matches the Rfam family "Bacterial small subunit ribosomal RNA", at positions 32 to 414 of the family's 1533-position model. The record is from RNAcentral.